GAUACCCUGGUAGUCCACGCCUAAACGAUGUCAACUAGUUGUCGGAUCUAAUUAAGGAUUUGGUAACGUAGCUAACGCGUGAAGUUGACCGCCUGGGGAGUACGGUCGCAAGAUUAAAAACUCAAAGGAAUUGACGGGGACCCGCACAAGCGGUGGAUUAUGUGGAUUAAUUCGAUGCAACGCGAAAAACCUUACCUACCCUUGACAUGCUUGGAAUCUAAUGGAGACAUAAGAGUGCCCGAAAGGGAGCUAAGACACAGGUGCUGCAUGGCUGUCGUCAGCUCGUGUCGUGAGAUGUUGGGUUAAGUCCCGCAACGAGCGCAACCCUUGUCACUAAUUGCUAUCAUUUUUAAUGAGCACUUUAGUGAGACUGCCGGUGACAAACCGGAGGAAGGUGGGGAUGACGUCAAGUCCUCAUGGCCCUUAUGGGUAGGGCUUCACACGUAAUACAAUGGCGUGUACAGAGGGUUGCCAACCCGCGAGGGGGAGCCAAUCUCAGAAAGCACGUCGUAGUCCGGAUCGGAGUCUGC
Molecule: ribosomal RNA, 530 nt
Filed under: uncultured bacterium
Lineage: Bacteria
Description: bacterial SSU rRNA
Rfam family: Bacterial small subunit ribosomal RNA
Source: RNAcentral